GGACAACUUCUCAGCCAUCAAAAAGAACAAAAUAAUGCCAUUUGCAGCAACAUGGAUGCAACUAGAGAUUCUAAUACUAAAUGAAGCCACAAAGAGAAAGACAAAUACCUUAUGGUAUCACUUAUAUGUGGAAUCUAAUAGAUGGCACAAAUGAACUUAUGUAGAGGAAAGAAAGAAACUUGUGGACAUGGAGAACAGACUUGUGGUUGCAAUGGAGAGGAGGGAGUGGGAUGGACUGGGAGUCUGUUAGUAGAUGUGAACUACUGCAUUUGGAGUGGAUAAGCAAUGAGACCCUGCUGUACAGCACAGGGAAAUAUAUCUAGUCACUUGUGAUGGAACACAAUAGAGGAUAGAAGAAGAAUAUAUAUAUACGUAUGUGAAUGACUGGGUCACUUUGCUGUACAGCAGAAAUUGACAGAACAUUGUAAAUCAGCUCUGUAAUAAAUCUUAAAAAAAAAAGAAAGAAAACAUUGCUAUGAUUUAUGUCAGAGAAUUGUUUUGCCUCUGUUCUUUUCUAGGACUUUUAUGGUGUUAUUUCUUAUACUUAAGUCUUUAAACCAUUCUGAGUUAAUUUUUGCGUAGGAUAUGAGUGUUCUAACUUUGACUUGCAUGCAGUUGUCCAGCCUUCCCAACACCACUUGCUGAAGAGAUUGUCUUUUCUGUAUUGUAUAUUCUUGCCUCCUUUGUUGAGGAUCAGUUGACUGUAGGGGUGUGUGUUUAUUCUGGGCUUUCUAUUCUGUUCCGUUGAUCCAUAUGUCUGUUUUUGUGUCACUAUCAUGAUGUUUUGAUUAUCGUAGCUUUGAGGUAUUGACUGAAGUCUGGGAGGGUUAUGCCUCCUGUUUUAUUCUUUUUACUUAGGGUUGCUUUAGCAAUUCUGGGUCUUUUAUGGUUCCAUAUGAGUUUUAGGAUUAUUUGUUCUAGUUCUGUGGAAAAUGUCAUGGGUAAUUUGAUAGGGAUUGCAUUAAAUCUGUAGAUUGCUUUGGGUAGUAUGGCCAUUUUAACAAUAUUAAUUCUUCCAAUUCAAGAGCAUGGGAUAUCUUUCCAUUUCUUUAAAUCAACUUCAGUUCCCUUUAUUAACGUUUUGCAGUUCUCAGAAUCUUUCACCCGGUUGGUCAGGUUUCUUCCUAAGUGGGUUUUGUUUUUGUUUUUAUGUCAUUAAGGGAUUGUUUUUUAACUUUAUGAGAUUUCAUUGUUAGUAUAAAGAAAUGCAGAACUU
Molecule: long non-coding RNA, 1216 nt
Filed under: Sus scrofa (pig)
Lineage: Eukaryota; Metazoa; Chordata; Mammalia; Artiodactyla; Suidae
Description: lncRNA (ENSSSCG00040039633.1)
Source: RNAcentral